GACAUGUCAAAUCCUUGGGUAAUCAAGGAGACCUCAGAAUUGGCAUUUCAAUUAGAAAAAGAGAAAAGAGAUGGUAUUUUUCUGGUCACAAGCAUGCAAUAGAAUAUUUACGGUUCAUUGUUCAAUUGAUCCUGACACCAGGUCUGUAACUACCAAGCUCUGAAUAUGGAAACAUUUAUAUAAAGAUGACUCUGUAUAUUUUUCUUUCUUUAUUAAGUGAAUUUAACUUUUUGGUAAAAAAAUUUAAAUUUUACUAUACUAAAGAGUACCGGAAUAGCAUUGGUUCUUUUGGUAAUAACUUCUAUUAAAAUUUUGUAUUUUGAUUUCAUUGAUAAAGUACUAGCUAGAAAAUAUUUAAUGUACGUAGGUAUUGUUAAUGCUCAUUACAAAUGCCUAUAGUCGAAGCUCCCGUUGUAACAUGUCUAGUGGUGGGGUUGAGCUCCUCAAAUUAAUCCUCGCAAAAGAACAUUGUCAAUUUUGCACCAAUCCAACAUUAAUUACAUUAAACCAUAAACACAGUGUUUUAAUGCUCGAUAAUAAUUGCUAAUUCCAAAGUUUAUUUUGAAUAUAAGUUAGAAAAUGACUUGGCAUAUGUCUCUUCUCCCAGGGAAUCUAGACAAAAGGACAUACACUGCCAACCUUUUUUCCUUCUCCUUGAUGGUACAAAUCUCUGGGCAAAAAUACCAAGGGCACACUUGACAAUGCUCUGUGAAACCCUAAAAGAGUGCUUUUUUUUAAAAAACCAAUGUAUAGUACAUGAAAGUU
RNAcentral lists this long non-coding RNA (765 nucleotides) under Ananas comosus (pineapple). RNAcentral describes it as "long non-coding RNA (ACOM_LNC014285)". Lineage: Eukaryota; Viridiplantae; Streptophyta; Magnoliopsida; Poales; Bromeliaceae. The record is from RNAcentral.